This 264-nucleotide ribosomal RNA is filed under the name uncultured archaeon. RNAcentral describes it as "partial 16S ribosomal RNA". It matches the Rfam family "Archaeal small subunit ribosomal RNA", at positions 719 to 982 of the family's 1478-position model. The record is from RNAcentral.
ACACGACUACAUUAGAUACCCGUGUAGUCCCAGCCCUAAACGAUGCGCGUUAGGUGUAUCGGUGACCACGAGUCACCGAGGUGCCGAAGGGAAACCGUGAAACGUGCCGCCUGGGAAGUACGGUCGCAAGGCUGAAACUUAAAGGAAUUGGCGGGGAGCACCACAACGCGUGGAGCCUGCGGUUUAAUUGGAUUCAACGCCGGACAUCUCACCAGGGGCGACAGCAGAAUAAUGGCCAGGUUGAUGACCUUGCUUGACAAGCUG